UACGUAGGUGGCAAGCGUUGUUCGGAAUUAUUGGGCGUAAAGGGCGCGUAGGCGGUUUGUUAAGUCGGUCGUGAAAGCCCGGGGCUCAACCCCGGAGGGUCGACCGAUACUGGCAGACUAGAGUACAGAAGAGGUAACUGGAAUUCCCGGUGUAGCGGUGAAAUGCGUAGAUAUCAGGAGGAACACCGGUGGCGAAGGCGGGUCUCUGGGCAGUAACUGACGCUGAGGAGCGAAAGCGUGGGGAGCGAACAGG
RNAcentral lists this ribosomal RNA (253 nucleotides) under uncultured bacterium. RNAcentral's name for it is "partial 16S ribosomal RNA". It matches the Rfam family "Bacterial small subunit ribosomal RNA", at positions 524 to 776 of the family's 1533-position model. The record is from RNAcentral.